This 1517-nucleotide ribosomal RNA is filed under the name Campylobacter coli. RNAcentral describes it as "partial 23S ribosomal RNA". It matches the Rfam family "Bacterial large subunit ribosomal RNA", at positions 1 to 1388 of the family's 2925-position model. The record is from RNAcentral. Lineage: Bacteria; Pseudomonadati; Campylobacterota; Epsilonproteobacteria; Campylobacterales; Campylobacteraceae.
AAAAAAGGUAAGCUACUAAGAGCGAAUGGUGGAUGCCUUGACUGGUAAAGGCGAUGAAGGACGUACUAGACUGCGAUAAGCUACGGGGAGCUGUCAAGAAGCUUUGAUCCGUAGAUUUCCGAAUGGGGCAACCCAAUGUAUAGAGAUAUACAUUACCUAUAUAGGAGCGAACGAGGGGAAUUGAAACAUCUUAGUACCCUCAGGAAAAGAAAUCAAUAGAGAUUGCGUCAGUAGCGGCGAGCGAAAGCGCAAGAGGGCAAACCCAGUGCUUGCACUGGGGGUUGUAGGACUGCAAUGUGCAAGAGGUGAGUUUAGCAGAACAUUCUGGAAAGUAUAGCCAUAGAGGGUGAUAGUCCCGUAUGCGAAAAACAAACCUUAGCUAGCAGUAUCCUGAGUAGGGCGGGACACGAGAAAUCCUGUCUGAAGCUGGGUCGACCACGAUCCAACCCUAAAUACUAAUACCAGAUCGAUAGUGCACAAGUACCGUGAGGGAAAGGUGAAAAGAACUGAGGUGAUCAGAGUGAAAUAGAACCUGAAACCAUUUGCUUACAAUCAUUCAGAGCCCUAUGUAGCAAUACAGGGUGAUGGACUGCCUUUUGCAUAAUGAGCCUGCGAGUUGUGGUGUCUGGCAAGGUUAAGCAAACGCGAAGCCGUAGCGAAAGCGAGUCUGAAUAGGGCGCUUAGUCAGAUGCUGCAGACCCGAAACGAAGUGAUCUAUCCAUGAGCAAGUUGAAGCUAGUGUAAGAACUAGUGGAGGACUGAACCCAUAGGCGUUGAAAAGCCCCGGGAUGACUUGUGGAUAGGGGUGAAAGGCCAAUCAAACUUCGUGAUAGCUGGUUCUCUCCGAAAUAUAUUUAGGUAUAGCGUUGUGUCGUAAUAUAAGGGGGUAGAGCACUGAAUGGGCUAGGGCAUACACCAAUGUACCAAACCCUAUCAAACUCCGAAUACCUUAUAUGUAAUCACAGCAGUCAGGCGGCGAGUGAUAAAAUCCGUCGUCAAGAGGGAAACAACCCAGACUACCAGCUAAGGUCCCUAAAUCUUACUUAAGUGGAAAACGAUGUGAAGUUACUUAAACAACCAGGAGGUUGGCUUAGAAGCAGCCAUCCUUUAAAGAAAGCGUAAUAGCUCACUGGUCUAGUGAUUUUGCGCGGAAAAUAUAACGGGGCUAAAGUAAGUACCGAAGCUGUAGACUUGCGCACAACUUAGAUUAUUUAAGUUUAGAAUAUGAGAAACUAAGUUAUAUGUUUAGUUAUAUUUUUACUGAUUUUUAUAGAGUAAAGAUAGAAAUAAAACUUAGUAAAAUCAGUAAAAAUAUUCUUAGACUAAAGUUAAGUAGUUUAAGUUGUGUGCAAGUGGUAGGAGAGCGUUCUAUUUGCGUCGAAGGUAUACCGGUAAGGAGUGCUGGAGCGAAUAGAAGUGAGCAUGCAGGCAUGAGUAGCGAUAAUUAAUGUGAGAAUCAUUAACGCCGUAAACCCAAGGUUUCCUACGCGAUGCUCGUCAUCGUAGGGUUAGUCGGG